RNAcentral lists this unclassified non-coding RNA (225 nucleotides) under Hevea brasiliensis (rubber tree). Lineage: Eukaryota; Viridiplantae; Streptophyta; Magnoliopsida; Malpighiales; Euphorbiaceae. The record is from RNAcentral.
GUUUAUAUAUGCAUAUCUAUAAGAGGAAGUCGGCUGUAUAGCCGCCACUUAAAUUUUAUGUAUGCAUGUGUGUGUGGGUUGAUGACUUGAUGUGAUGAUGAGAAGAUGCCUUUGGAUUUGGAUUCGAUCCAAACCGGUCCCCUUUUCAAAUGCUGGAAUCAAUAUAUGUUGGCUAAGCAAAACCACGGGCGUGACCCCAUUUGUGUCUUUUGUAUAUACAUGGCG